RNAcentral lists this ribosomal RNA (251 nucleotides) under uncultured bacterium. Its description in RNAcentral is "partial 16S ribosomal RNA". It matches the Rfam family "Bacterial small subunit ribosomal RNA", at positions 524 to 776 of the family's 1533-position model. The record is from RNAcentral.
GACGUAGGGCGCGAGCGUUGUCCGGAUUAUUGGCGUAAAGAGCUCGUAGGCGGCUUGUCGCGUCGAAUGUGAAAGCCCAGGGCUCAACUCUGGAAGUGCACUCGAUACUGGCUCGCUAGAGUACUGGAGAGGUUGGUGGAAUUCUCGGUGUAGAGGUGAAAUUCGUAGAUAUCGAGAGGAACACCGGUGGCGAAGGCGGCCAACUGGACAGAUACUGACGCUGAGACACGAAAGCGUGGGGAGCGAACAGG